UACAGAGGGGGCAAGCGUUAUUCGGAAUUAUUGGGCGUAAAGGGCGCGUAGGCGGCUUUGCAAGUGACGGGUGAAAUCCCUCGGCUUAACCGGGGAACUGCGUCUGAUACUGGAUGGCUUGAGUUCGGGAGAGGGAUGCGGAAUUCCAGGUGUAGCGGUGAAAUGCGUAGAUAUCUGGAGGAACACCGGUGGCGAAGGCGGCAUCCUGGACCGAGAUUGACGCUGAGGCGCGAAAGCCAGGGGAGCAAACGGG
Molecule: ribosomal RNA, 253 nt
Filed under: uncultured bacterium
Lineage: Bacteria
Description: partial 16S ribosomal RNA
Rfam family: Bacterial small subunit ribosomal RNA
Source: RNAcentral